Pelobates cultripes (western spadefoot toad) is the source of this 277-nucleotide non-coding RNA. NCBI's taxonomy places the organism in Eukaryota, Metazoa, Chordata, Amphibia, Anura, Pelobatidae. The record is from the annotation of a GenBank genome assembly.
GGGGUGCGGUCUCAAGGGCACGUAUAUCCACAUGUGGUGGGAAUGCCCGAUCACAAAAGUUUAUUGGCAACAAAUUGCGCAGUUGCUGCAAGAAAUAUUUGAGAGGGAGGUUAAGCUAGACCCAUGGGUAUUUUUGUUAGCUAGAUCUAUAGAAAACUGGACGAAAUCAGAACUGACCCUAUUACAUAAGGUGAACCUAGCCGCUAGGAGAGCUUUGGCACAGGUAUGGUUGCGAAGAGAGGCCCCAGAAAUCGCCGUGGUGAUUCAGAAAAUUAAA